Molecule: ribosomal RNA, 598 nt
Filed under: Xanthoperenniporia maackiae
Lineage: Eukaryota; Fungi; Basidiomycota; Agaricomycetes; Polyporales; Polyporaceae
Description: eukaryotic LSU rRNA
Rfam family: Eukaryotic large subunit ribosomal RNA
Source: RNAcentral
UAACAAGGAUUCCCCUAGUAACUGCGAGUGAAGCGGGAAAAGCUCAAAUUUAAAAUCUGGCGGUCUUUGGCCGUCCGAGUUGUAGUCUGGAGAAGUGCUUUCCGCGCUGGACCGUGUAUAAGUCUCUUGGAACAGAGCGUCAUAGAGGGUGAGAAUCCCGUCUUUGACACGGACUACCAGUGCUUUGUGAUGCGCUCUCAAAGAGUCGAGUUGUUUGGGAAUGCAGCUCAAAAUGGGUGGUGAAUUCCAUCUAAAGCUAAAUAUUGGCGAGAGACCGAUAGCGAACAAGUACCGUGAGGGAAAGAUGAAAAGCACUUUGGAAAGAGAGUUAAACAGUACGUGAAAUUGCUGAAAGGGAAACGCUUGAAGUCAGUCGCGUCGUCCGGAACUCAGCCUUGCUUUUGCUUGGUGCACUUUCCGGUUGACGGGCCAGCAUCGAUUUUGACCGUCGGAAAAGGGCUAGAGUAAUGUGGCACCUCCGGGUGUGUUAUAGACUCUAGUCGCAUACGGCGGUUGGGAUCGAGGAACGCAGCGCGCCGCAAGGCAGGGGUUCGCCCACUUUCGCGCUUAGGAUGCUGGCAUAAUGGCUUUAAACGAC